AGCUUGCCAUGGUGGCGGAGAGCGUCCACACAGGCCCCGUGCAGCGUGCGUGAGGCCGGUCCCGGGCCUGCCAGGGUGCUGGGUGGAGCGUAGCAGGAGGGCGUGGGAAGCAAGGUGGGAGAAGAGUGGGGGGUCCUCGGGCCGCG
Long non-coding RNA from Perognathus longimembris pacificus (Pacific pocket mouse), 146 nucleotides. RefSeq lists it as uncharacterized. The transcript is spliced from 3 exons. The record is from RefSeq and is a predicted model, not a curated record. Lineage: Eukaryota; Metazoa; Chordata; Mammalia; Rodentia; Heteromyidae.